Long non-coding RNA from Alosa sapidissima (American shad), 102 nucleotides. RefSeq lists it as uncharacterized. The transcript is spliced from 3 exons. NCBI's taxonomy places the organism in Eukaryota, Metazoa, Chordata, Actinopteri, Clupeiformes, Clupeidae. The record is from RefSeq and is a predicted model, not a curated record.
AAGUUCCUGGUAGCACUCCAACUGGACUUGAAUCUCUAGCCUAUAAAGAUGUUGAACUGAAAGCGUAAUUUAAUAGUUGGGCGUCGAAUGACGUUUUCCACC